AGAGUUUGAUCCUGGCUCAGGAUGAACGCUAGCUACAGGCUUAACACAUGCAAGUCGAGGGGCAGCAUGACCUAGCAAUAGGUUGAUGGCGACCGGCGCACGGGUGAGUAACACGUAUCCAACCUACCGGUUAUUCCGGGAUAGCCUUUCGAAAGAAAGAUUAAUACCGGAUAGUAUAACGAGAAGGCAUCUUUUUGUUAUUAAAGAAUUUCGAUAACCGAUGGGGAUGCGUUCCAUUAGUUUGUUGGCGGGGUAACGGCCCACCAAGACAUCGAUGGAUAGGGGUUCUGAGAGGAAGGUCCCCCACAUUGGAACUGAGACACGGUCCAAACUCCUACGGGAGGCAGCAGUGAGGAAUAUUGGUCAAUGGACGAGAGUCUGAACCAGCCAAGUAGCGUGAAGGAUGACUGCCCUAUGGGUUGUAAACUUCUUUUAUAUGGGAAUAAAGUGAGCCACGUGUGGCUUUUUGUAUGUACCAUACGAAUAAGGAUCGGCUAACUCCGUGCCAGCAGCCGCGGUAAUACGGAGGAUCCGAGCGUUAUCCGGAUUUAUUGGGUUUAAAGGGAGCGUAGGCGGACUAUUAAGUCAGCUGUGAAAGUUUGCGGCUCAACCGUAAAAUUGCAGUUGAUACUGGUCGUCUUGAGUGCAGUAGAGGUAGGCGGAAUUCGUGGUGUAGCGGUGAAAUGCUUAGAUAUCACGAAGAACUCCGAUUGCGAAGGCAGCUUACUGGACUGUAACUGACGCUGAUGCUCGAAAGUGUGGGUAUCAAACAGGAUUAGAUACCCUGGUAGUCCACACAGUAAACGAUGAAUACUCGCUGUUUGCGAUAUACGGCAAGCGGCCAAGCGAAAGCAUUAAGUAUUCCACCUGGGGAGUACGCCGGCAACGGUGAAACUCAAAGGAAUUGACGGGGGCCCGCACAAGCGGAGGAACAUGUGGUUUAAUUCGAUGAUACGCGAGGAACCUUACCCGGGCUUAAAUUGCAAAUGAAUAUAGUGGAAACAUUAUAGCCGCAAGGCAUUUGUGAAGGUGCUGCAUGGUUGUCGUCAGCUCGUGCCGUGAGGUGUCGGCUUAAGUGCCAUAACGAGCGCAACCCUU
RNAcentral lists this ribosomal RNA (1098 nucleotides) under Bacteroides cellulosilyticus WH2. RNAcentral describes it as "bacterial SSU rRNA". It matches the Rfam family "Bacterial small subunit ribosomal RNA", at positions 8 to 1106 of the family's 1533-position model. Lineage: Bacteria; Pseudomonadati; Bacteroidota; Bacteroidia; Bacteroidales; Bacteroidaceae. The record is from RNAcentral.